Molecule: long non-coding RNA, 1755 nt
Filed under: Sus scrofa (pig)
Lineage: Eukaryota; Metazoa; Chordata; Mammalia; Artiodactyla; Suidae
Description: lncRNA (ENSSSCG00035019041.1)
Source: RNAcentral
GCAGGAGUCUCCAUUGCCAGUAAAAACCCGCUUGGCCACUUGUGUAGAAAGAGGAAUUAAUAUUUGAAUACUCAACUGACUGGUUCUUCUUGGGAGCAAGUAGCCAAGUAAAUAACCAAGGGAGAACAAGGGAAGGAACAAAAUGGCAGCAAGCCCAAAGGAGACAUGCCUCAAUCAUCCUGCAGCACCCUGGACGUGGCCAUGGGAUGACAUCCUCCCUCCAGCGCCCUGCCAUGGUACACAGAACGAGCCUCCGUGCGGGAGGAAGGAUACUGGCUGAUUUCGGCUGUGCCUGGUCCAAUCUUGGCUUACCUCAGACGGAGUUCUGGCUGCCUCACUUUCAAUAUGUUGCCGCCUUCCCUGAGAACUCAGAGAGGUCACAUCCACAUCAGGACUUCAGCGCCAGACCCUCCCACUGCCCACCCUUUGCUACCUUUUCUCUCACUUUGUACCGACUCCUCUUGCUAAUUCUCCUUUGUGUGUUUGGAGACCAUCUCUCACCACUUUCACUCAGAUGACCUACUAAACUAUUUUCUCUGCUCAGGUUGUUAAACUAGAAGUUACAGUGGUCUUGAGUCUUGGUUAAGCUUGAUUAAGAUUAAGCUUUAAGUUCAUCAUAGUCUAUGCUGGUUUAAGUGAUGAAUACAGAUGUGCCCCCAGAGUGGCCAAGGGCUGUGCCACGAAAAUAAUAUGCUUUUCAGGAGCGCAUCUUCUCCCCCCUAAAUAUGUGAGGAUGUGUUUGCACCAAAGAUAGAGCAGGGUGUUCAGGGCACAGAUCUGAUGGGGAGGAUCAUGUUCAGGAAAACCACCUUUAGAGCAAACUCGCGAUUCUAUCCAGUUCUCCUUACACCUUGUUUCCUCACAAAAUUAGGCAAAUUCUAAUAGCUAUAGACUUUCGGUAAUUCCUUAGCCUUUCAGAUUUUGCCAUGUAACAGUGUGAUUUCUGCGUUAGCCUGAGUACAGUACUGCAUUCCCUUCUGAGCCUGAGGGGACACCCAUAUGAGUCUUAAAUUUCCAACAAGUGACACUUUGCCUGACUCUACUCUGUUAAAGACUCUUUUGGAAAUCAAUUCUAUAACGUAGUGUAGUACGUUAUAGAAUUCUGGUAAUUAGGAGUUCCCACUGUGGCUCAGCACUAACGAACCCAACUAGUAUCCGUGAGGAUGAGAGUUCAAACCCUGGCCCGGCAUUGCUGUGAGCUGCAGUGUAGGUCAAAGACUGGGUUCGGAUUUGGCAUUGCCAUGGCUAUGGUGUAGACUGGCAGCUGCAGCUCCAAUUCAACCCCUAGCCUGAGAAUUUCCAUAUGCCACAGGUGCAGCCCUAAAAGACAAAAUAAUAAUAAUAAUAAUAAUAAUAAUAAUAAUAAUUCUGGUAACUAUAGAAUACUCAAAGAUAAAAUCCAAAAGCUACUAAAAUCUGCUCAGAGGACGUUAACACACAGAAAAAUCAGAGUGAGUUGUAUUUUUCUUCAAUCUAGCCCAAGGAUGGGCAAGAGGGUGUAGGAAUUUGACAACGUCGAUGCUUGGCCAGAGGAACCCCCCCCCCCGCCCCCCACGGCCAGAAGCCACCUGCUAUGAGAGUUCCCAGGUGCUAUGCAUUUCCUUUAUUUGCCUUUGAGACUCCAACCCUGAGGAGCUCCCAAAGGCUUUUAGAUAAUGAAGACAUUGCUGCAUUCAUCAUUGAUCCCAUUCCCCCAAAACAGCCACAUUUCUAAGUUCAGUGGCAGGAGAAUAAAAUAUUCAUCCCCUUCUGUCA